UACGAAGGGGGCUAGCGUUGCUCGGAAUCACUGGGCGUAAAGGGUGCGUAGGCGGGUCUUUAAGUCAGGGGUGAAAUCCUGGAGCUCAACUCCAGAACUGCCUUUGAUACUGAAGAUCUCGAGUUCGGGAGAGGUGAGUGGAACUGCGAGUGUAGAGGUGAAAUUCGUAGAUAUUCGCAAGAACACCAGUGGCGAAGGCGGCUCCCUGGCCCGAUACUGACGCUGAGGCACGAAAGCGUGGGGAGCAAACAGG
This 253-nucleotide ribosomal RNA is filed under the name uncultured bacterium. RNAcentral's name for it is "partial 16S ribosomal RNA". It matches the Rfam family "Bacterial small subunit ribosomal RNA", at positions 524 to 776 of the family's 1533-position model. The record is from RNAcentral.